RNAcentral lists this ribosomal RNA (444 nucleotides) under uncultured bacterium. RNAcentral's name for it is "partial 16S ribosomal RNA". It matches the Rfam family "Bacterial small subunit ribosomal RNA", at positions 355 to 788 of the family's 1533-position model. The record is from RNAcentral.
UGGGGAAUUUUGGACAAUGGGCGCAAGCCUGAUCCAGCCAUGCCGCGUGCGGGAAGAAGGCCUUCGGGUUGUAAACCGCUUUUGUCAGGGAAGAAAUCUUCUGAGUUAAUACCUCGGGAGGAUGACGGUACCUGAAGAAUAAGCACCGGCUAACUACGUGCCAGCAGCCGCGGUAAUACGUAGGGUGCAAGCGUUAAUCGGAAUUACUGGGCGUAAAGCGUGCGCAGGCGGUUUUNUAAGACAGAGGUGAAAUCCCCGGGCUCAACCUGGGAACUGCCUUUGUGACUGCAAGGCUUGAGUGCGGCAGAGGGGGAUGGAAUUCCGCGUGUAGCAGUGAAAUGCGUAGAUAUGCGGAGGAACACCGAUGGCGAAGGCAAUCCCCCUGGGCCUGCACUGACGCUCAUGCACGAAAGCGUGGGGAGCAAAACAGGAUUAGAUACCCCU